UUCGCAAUGCCCGAAAGGGUGACGGAGCGACGCCGCGUGGAGGAUGAAGGCCCUCGGGUUGUAAACUCCUGUCAGGUGGGAAGAAAAGUAUUUGGCUGAAUAACCCCGAUACCUGACGUUACCACCAGAGGAAGCACCAGCAAACUUCGUGCCAGCAGCUGCGGUAAUACGAAGGGUGCGAGCGUUGUUCGGAAUCACUGGGCUUAAAGGGCACGUAGGCGGAGGGAUAAAUCAGAAGUGAAAGCCCGGCGCUCAACGUCGGAAUUGCUUUUGAAAAUGUCUUUCUCGAGUGCAGGAGGGGAGAGCGAAACUCUUGGUGGAGCGGUGAACUGCGUAGAUAUCAAGGGGAACGCCAGCGGCGAAAGCGGCUCUCUGGCCUGCUACUGACGCUGAGUGUGCGAAAGCUAGGGGAGCAAAGAGGAUUAGAUACCCUUGUAGUCCUAGCCGUAAACGAUGGGCACUAAGUAGAGGGGUUUU
Molecule: ribosomal RNA, 477 nt
Filed under: uncultured anaerobic ammonium-oxidizing bacterium
Lineage: Bacteria
Description: bacterial SSU rRNA
Rfam family: Bacterial small subunit ribosomal RNA
Source: RNAcentral